UCGGAUUGACGAUCAGUCGCCCCGUCCUUUCUCAGAAAGAGCGGGGAGGAAAGUCCGGGCAGCAUAGGGCACGGCAGUUGCUAACGGCAACCAAGGGUAACCUUAGGGAAAGUGCCACAGAAACAACACAACCGAUCCCCUAAAGGAAUCGGAAAUGGUGAAAAGAGUAAGGUAAGAGCUUACAGCUCCGACGGGUGACUGUCGGAGGCGGUAAACCCUGCCAGCUGCAAGGAGACGACCUAAAGAGUAGCCCGCUACGGUCGUCGGUUGAACCCGCUCGAUCCCGAUGGCAACGUCGGGACUAGAUAGAUGACUGAUGGGGGCCUGCUUGUACCUUUUAAUUUAUAGGGAAAAUGGCUGCAGUCGGCAGUCGCAGAUUUUGGCUUCUUGUGAGGAGGUGUAUCCGUAGGAUACAUUGACGAACAAAAGGCAAAAGAAGUGUGCCGAACCUGCCGUUUUAGCCGAAUUGAAAGGUAAGAGCAGGUCCUAUAACAGAACCCGGCUUACGGUCUCUCCGACGCC
This 522-nucleotide RNase P RNA is filed under the name Candidatus Saccharimonadota bacterium. RNAcentral's name for it is "RNase P RNA component class A". It matches the Rfam family "Bacterial RNase P class A". Rfam says of the family: Ribonuclease P (RNase P) is a ubiquitous endoribonuclease, found in archaea, bacteria and eukarya as well as chloroplasts and mitochondria. Its best characterised activity is the generation of mature 5'-ends of tRNAs by cleaving the 5'-leader elements of precursor-tRNAs. Cellular RNase Ps are ribonucleoproteins. The record is from RNAcentral. Lineage: Bacteria; Candidatus Saccharimonadota.